RNAcentral lists this small RNA (580 nucleotides) under Lambertella sp. TNS:F-40031. Its description in RNAcentral is "eukaryotic LSU rRNA". The stretch from base 222 to 374 matches the Rfam family "5.8S ribosomal RNA". The record is from RNAcentral. Lineage: Eukaryota; Fungi; Ascomycota; Leotiomycetes; Helotiales; Rutstroemiaceae.
CAUUUAGAGGAAGUAAAAGUCGUAACAAGGUUUCCGUAGGUGAACCUGCGGAAGGAUCAUUACAGAGUUCAUGCCCUUCGGGGUAGACCUCCCACCCGUGUAUAUACUACCGUGUUGCUUUGGCGGGCCGCCGCAAGGCCCUGGCUCCGGCUGGGUCGCGCCCGUCAGAGGACCCCGAAACUCUGAAUGUUAGUGUCGUCUGAGUACUAUAUAAUAGUUAAAACUUUCAACAACGGAUCUCUUGGUUCUGGCAUCGAUGAAGAACGCAGCGAAAUGCGAUAAGUAAUGGAAUUGCAGAAUUCAGUGAAUCAUCGAAUCUUUGAACGCACAUUGCGCCCCUUGGUAUUCCGGGGGGCAUGCCUGUUCGAGCGUCAUUUCAACCCUCACGCCCCGCGUGGUAUUGGGCCCCGCCGGCGACGGCGGGCCCUAAAGACAGUGGCGGCGCCUGAUGGCCCUGAACGUAGUACAUCUCUCGUUACAGGCGCUGGAAGGACGCUGGCCAGCAACCCCAAUUUUCUAUGGUUGACCUCGGAUCAGGUAGGGAUACCCGCUGAACUUAAGCAUAUCAAUAAGCGGAGGA